Small nucleolar RNA from Paramormyrops kingsleyae, 134 nucleotides. Ensembl annotates it as small nucleolar RNA SNORA9. The record is from Ensembl. Lineage: Eukaryota; Metazoa; Chordata; Actinopteri; Osteoglossiformes; Mormyridae.
GUGCAGGUCAAUCCAGCAAGGCAGAACCGAUGGUGGCCCUGUCCUUUCCUGUGAAGCCUGCUAGAAUCAUGUGAGGUGGUUUGAGGCCCUGCCGUGCUCUCUCCAUGGCAAGGCUAUAGAGACCUCCGACACUC